RNAcentral lists this ribosomal RNA (253 nucleotides) under uncultured bacterium. RNAcentral's name for it is "partial 16S ribosomal RNA". It matches the Rfam family "Bacterial small subunit ribosomal RNA", at positions 524 to 776 of the family's 1533-position model. The record is from RNAcentral.
UACGUAGGGUGCGAGCGUUGUCCGGAAUUACUGGGCGUAAAGAGCUCGUAGGUGGUUUGUCGCGUUGUUCGUGAAAACUCACGGCUUAACUGUGAGCGUGCGGGCGAUACGGGCAGACUGGAGUACUUAAGAGGAUCGCGGAAUUCCCGGUGUAGAGGUGAAAUUCGUAGAUAUCGGGAGGAACACCAGUGGCGAAGGCGGCGAUCUGGGAAGAUACUGACGCUGAGGUGCGAAAGCGUGGGGAGCAAACAGG